Andrographis paniculata is the source of this 3370-nucleotide RNA transcript. It is a transcript of the gene named valine--tRNA ligase, chloroplastic/mitochondrial 2, with no coding region annotated. The transcript has 29 exons. NCBI's taxonomy places the organism in Eukaryota, Viridiplantae, Streptophyta, Magnoliopsida, Lamiales, Acanthaceae. The record is from RefSeq and is a predicted model, not a curated record.
AAAUCGUUCGUCGUCGAUAGUGAAUUGAAUGAAUAUCAGUAUCACAUUCACGACGGGGAUUUAUAAGCAUCAGCCUCACAAGAGUUCCACUGGUGUUGUGGCGGACUGGAUGGCGCUCUCCAAUUCCCCCUCCCUCUUAUCGUCUUCUUGCUCGGUAUGCUACUACAGGCUCAACCCACUGCUCUUCUCCAUCCAACGGCGUCGCCAUGUCUCUCUCUCACGCCCUCAUUUCAUUUGUUCGAGAAGCACCCGUCUUGCUACUGUGGCUGGGAUGAAGGAUAGUGGUGCGUUUACUUCUCCCGAAGUAGCAAAAUCUUUUGACUUCACAGCCGAAGAAAGGAUAUACAAAUGGUGGGAGUCGCAGGGGUAUUUCAAACCAAAUUCUGAGAGAGGAAGUGAACCAUUUGUAAUUUCGAUGCCCCCUCCCAACGUUACAGGCUCAUUACAUAUGGGGCAUGCCAUGUUUGUAACACUUGAGGAUAUUAUGAUUAGAUACCAUAGAAUGAGAGGAAGACCUACGCUCUGGCUUCCUGGGACUGAUCAUGCUGGUAUUGCAACCCAGCUGGUGGUGGAAAGAAUGCUGGCUGCAGAAGGAGUAAAAAGAGUUGAUUUGGGCAGAGAAGAAUUUACCAAAAGAGUAUGGGAAUGGAAAGAAAAAUAUGGUGGAACAAUCACAAAUCAAAUUAAGAGACUUGGUGCUUCUUGUGAUUGGACCAGAGAACGUUUUACCCUUGAUGCCCAGCUGAGUCGAGCAGUAGUUGAAGCAUUUGUCAGGCUGCAUGAGAAAGGUCUCAUUUAUCAAGGUUCUUAUCUGGUCAAUUGGUCCCCCAAUUUGCAGACUGCAGUUUCUGACCUUGAAGUGGAGUACUCAGAAGAACCAGGUGCACUGUACUACAUCAAGUAUCGUGUUGCUGGUGGUUCGAGGAGUGACUUCUUGACAAUUGCAACAACAAGGCCCGAGACUUUAUUUGGUGAUACAGCUGUAGCAGUGAAUCCAGCGGAUGAGCGAUAUUCGAAGUACAUUGGGAAAAUGGCUAUUGUUCCUAUGACAUACGGCAGGCACGUGCCCAUUAUCUCCGAUAAGUAUGUGGAUAAAGACUUUGGGACUGGUGUCUUGAAGAUAAGCCCUGGUCAUGAUCACAAUGACUAUCUUCUUGCUCGGAAACUUGGUCUCCCCAUCCUUAAUGUCAUGAAUAAAGAUGGAACUUUAAAUGAAGUUGCUGGAUUAUACUGUGGUCUUGAUCGGUUUGAGGCAAGGAAGAAACUUUGGUCAGAUCUUGAGGAGACGGGGCUAGCAGUAAAAAAGGAGGCUCACACUCUACGGGUUCCAAGAUCACAGCGUGGUGGAGAGAUAAUCGAACCCCUGGUAAGCAAGCAGUGGUUUGUGACAAUGGAGCCCUUGGCAGAGAAGGCCUUCGAAGCAGUAGAAAAAGAAGAAUUAACUAUAGUGCCUGAAAGAUUUGAGAAGAUAUAUAAUCACUGGCUGUCGAAUAUCAAAGACUGGUGUAUAAGCAGGCAGCUGUGGUGGGGACACCGGAUACCUGUUUGGUACAUAGUGGGUAAAGAUUGUGAAGAGGAGUAUAUUGUUGCUAGAAACACAGAAGAAGCUUUCAAUAAAGCUCGUGAAAAGUAUGGGGAAAGUGUUGAAAUAUACCAGGAUCCAGAUGUUCUUGACACUUGGUUUUCCAGUUCAUUGUGGCCAUUCAGCACUCUCGGUUGGCCAGACACAUCCGCAAAGGAUUUUAAGGCAUUUUAUCCUACUUCACUUCUUGAGACUGGGCAUGACAUUUUAUUCUUUUGGGUGGCAAGAAUGGUUAUGAUGGGAAUAGAGUUAACUGGGACCAUUCCAUUUUCAAAUGUUUAUCUCCAUGGACUUAUACGAGAUUCUCAAGGCCGGAAAAUGUCAAAAACACUGGGAAAUGUUAUUGAUCCACUUGAUUCAAUCAAAGAGUAUGGCACUGAUGCUCUACGCUUCACACUUUCCUUAGGAACGGCUGGACAGGAUCUAAAUUUAUCAACUGAGAGAUUGAACUCUAACAAAGCACUCACAAACAAACUCUGGAAUGCUGGAAAGUUUGUGUUACAGAAUUUGCCGCGUCAAGAUGAUAAAUUGGCUUGGGAAGCUGUACAGGACUUUAAGUUUGAUGCUGAAGAUUAUCUAUUAAAGCUACCUCUGCCAGAAUGUUGGGUGGUAUCAAAACUUCAUAUGUUGAUAGAUGCGGUCACUGCUAGUUAUGACAAGUUUUUCUUUGGAGAUGUUGCCAGAGAAAUAUAUGAUUUCUUUUGGUUUGAUUUUGCUGAUUGGUAUAUUGAAGCAAGUAAAGCCAGGCUGUAUCACUCUGGUGGUGACUCAGUUGCUUCUGUGGCGCAAGCAGUUCUCUUGUAUGUCUUCGAAAACAUACUGAAAUUACUUCACCCAUUUAUGCCUUUUGUAAGCGAAGCACUUUGGCAGUCACUACCCAACCGAGAAGAAGCUUUGAUAGUGUCAGCUUGGCCUCCCACUUCUCUUCCAAGGCAUGCUGAAUCAGUGAAGAAAUUUGAGAACUUACAAGCCUUGACAAGAGCUAUCCGCAAUGCACGGGCAGAGUACUUGGUUGAGCCAGCAAGACGAAUAUCUGUUUGUGUUGUUGCAAGUUCAGAAGUCCUGCAAUAUAUUUCUAACGAAAAAGAAGUCUUGGCUCUUCUCUCUAGACUAGAUCUGCAAAAUGUCACGUUUACAGGAACUCCCCCAGGAGAUGCCAAUCAAUCAGUCCAUCUUGUUGCCAGUGAAGGUUUGGAGGCUUACCUUCCUCUUGCUGACAUGGUAGAUAUUUCUGCUGAAGUUCAAAGACUUACAAAGCGCAUUGCAAAAAUGCAAACCGAGUAUGAUGCACUCAUGACACGCCUAAGCUCUCCAAGUUUUGUAGAGAAAGCUCCUGAGAAUGUUGUCUCUGGGGUUCGAGAAAAAGCAGCAGAAGCAGAAGAAAAACUAGCUUUAACAAGAAAACGCCUUGCAUUUCUCCAGUCCACAGUUUUGGUAUCUAACUGAAGUCGCUAAGAGUCCUCGGCUUCCAAUUAGCAACUGGGGUGCAGUCUUCAAGUUGUAGCGCGACAAUGAUAUAUUCUUUUUUGUGCUGAAUCCUAUCCAUUGAGCUCUGAAUUUGAAGAAGAUACAUUUGUUGUGAUUAGAAAGACCAUAAGUUACAUAGAGAAAGAAAGGAAAGGAGUUCAUGAACUACACAGCACAAGCGAGGGCUAUCUAUAAACCAUGUCUUCUAUUUUUUGAAAGAUAACAAAAAAUUGCUAUGUUCUUGAUUAUACACAAUACACAACGUAGAUUGAAUGCACUUGAUUAUGAGCUGUUUGCAGCAAAAAUCGGUAACUUGUAAAA